CAUGAUGAUGUGAAAUGCCAUGAUAAUAUACAUGUGCAUUAAUGAUAUGCUAUGAUAUGUGAUGUAUGUGAUGCGGGUUCAUGUGUGCCCACAUGAACCAUAUGAUGCUAAUGUUUAUGUGUUGUGCACUGUUUUUCAGAAAACAGGAUGAGAGGAACUCGUCGAUCAACAAGAUUGACUGGAGUACCACCUGAGGAUGAGGGCAUGAGCGCCCGUCCUCCAGCAUUGCCUAGGGCAAUGUCUAGUAGGUCUAACAGAGAUAGAGCAGCAAGAGACCCUAGAAGGUCUUUGGAUCUAGGUAGAAGCAGAUCAGUCAGAGGAACAGUUCAGGGAGGAGUGUCUGAGAGCAUGGGGGAUG
This 358-nucleotide long non-coding RNA is filed under the name Manihot esculenta (cassava). Its description in RNAcentral is "long non-coding RNA (MESC_LNC012837)". Lineage: Eukaryota; Viridiplantae; Streptophyta; Magnoliopsida; Malpighiales; Euphorbiaceae. The record is from RNAcentral.